Molecule: RNA transcript, 4300 nt
Organism: Bufo gargarizans (Asiatic toad)
Lineage: Eukaryota; Metazoa; Chordata; Amphibia; Anura; Bufonidae
Gene name: BUB3-interacting and GLEBS motif-containing protein ZNF207-like
Exons: 12
Source: RefSeq, a predicted model, not a curated record
AGGGGGCGGUGUGGAACGUUAGGCGCCAUCUUGCCUGCUCUUUGUGGUGGGUCUUCUACUCACGGCCUCGGUCUCUGGAGUUUUUUUUUCCCCCGGACAUAUUCGUAGUCAGAAUGGGAAGGAAGAAGAAGAAGCAGCUGAAGCCCUGGUGCUGGUACUGCAACCGAGACUUCGAUGACGAGAAGAUCCUCAUCCAGCACCAGAAGGCCAAGCAUUUCAAAUGCCACAUCUGUCACAAGAAGCUGUACACCGGCCCAGGCCUGGCCAUCCACUGUAUGCAGGUACAUAAGGAGACCAUCGAUGCUGUGCCCAACGCCAUCCCUGGGAGGACAGACAUCGAGCUGGAAAUCUAUGGCAUGGAAGGCAUUCCUGAAAAAGACAUGGAGGAGAGAAGGAGAAUGCUUGAGCAGAAGACACAAGCUGAUGGACAGAAGAAGAAACAGGAUGACUCUGAUUAUGAAGAUGACGAUGAGUCCGGGCCAUCCAGCGCGUUCCCAUCUCAAAUGCAGGCCCAGCAGGGGUACAUGCCCGGUCUGCAUGGAUUAGCGGGAGCUCCAGGCAUGCCCCCAGGAAUCCCUCCUCUAAUGCCCACUGUGCCACUGAUGCAUGGGAUCCCGCCUGGCAUGCCAGGGAUGCCUCACGGGUUAGUAUCUCCUCUUGCUUUACUGUUUUGGUAUAAAGCCAUUUUCCUGGGUUUGACGCUUUCUCUCUUUUUUUCCAGGAUGUUACAGAUGGGUGGCUUGAUGCAUCACCAUGGCCCGGGAAUCCCCCCUAUGAUGGCUGGUUUGCCUCCAGGUGUGCCGCCACCGAUGGGCCCUCGUCCAGGGAUGCCUGCUAUUACUCAGGCUCAGCCCAUCUCAGCUCCAGGUGUUGGCAGACUUCCACCUCCCAGUACCUCUGCCCCAUCCAUGUCCUCUGUGCCCAAGCCACUAUUCCCCAGUGCUGGACAGAUGGGAUCACCAGUCACCAGUUCCUCCUCGUCCUCCGGCUCCGAGGGCCUCUCUGCACCCGCUAAAGUGCUCUUUCCUAGUGCUGCACAAGCUCCAGCGACAGUGGCCGGACCGGUGGGCACAGACUUUAAGCCCUUGAACAGUGCCACAGUUACAACAUCAGAACCUCCUAAACCAACGUUUCCCGCUUACACUCAGUCAACCAUGUCAACCACUAGCACCACAAAUAGCACUGCUGCUAAACCGGCUGCUUCCAUAACAAGUAAGCCCGCUACCCUGAGUACUACUAGUGCUACUAGUAAGUUGAUCCAUCCAGAUGAGGAUAUAUCACUGGAAGAGAAGCGUGCUCAGCUCCUGAAAUACCAGCGUAACCUGCCUCGGCCAGGACAGGCACCCAUGGGAGGUCUUUCAAGCCCUCUUGGAGCUAUGAUGGCACCACAGCCUGGCAUCCCACCUCAGCAGCCUGGCAUGAGGCAUCCAAUGCCCCCUCAUGGUCAGUUUGGGAGCCCGCACCAAGGCAUGCCAGGAUUUCACCCAGGGGCAAUACCUCCCUUUGGACAAGCACCACCUAUGGUCCCACAAUUCCAAGGUGGGCCCCCUCGACCGCUGAUGGGAAUGCGACCUCCUGUCAUGUCUCAAGGUGGCCGCUACUGACCAUGCUGCACGAUAAAUAGGUUUUUAGAAGUGGCGUAUAGUAAAUAUGGUUCGUUUAAUUGUGAAGGCGCCAAAUACCACCACAAGCACUGCCCUAGCACAGGCUGAGUCUGUGUUGCCCUGUUCAAUCUGAGGCAAGUGGCAUUUAUUUUCUUCAGGGGCCCUCACAGCCUUAGCUGUUGGAUAUAUAUGUCCCCAAACUUGCAGCAAGUUUGGUGAAGGCCCCUGCCAUUUUCUGUAAUGUAGGGCUUCUGCUGGUUCAAUGUUGUGUACGGAGAGUUGCUGCAUUAAAUCCCGGCCCCUCGGUGACCAGGCUCUGGCUGGGCAGUGCUUGGUGUUGUCAGUGCCACUGCUGACAGCACUGCGUACUCCAUGGCUGCUUCAGACUCUCAGCGUUACUGUCUAUGAACACAGCGCAUUCUAGGCCAUCACUGCCGCAGGGCCGUCUGACCUUGGAAGUCCAGGGUCAGGUUCUCGUGUGCUCUAGACAGUAAUGUCUCCUGUGGCUCAUGGUCUGUCCUCCAGAUUUCAGGCCUUCGGUGUCACAGUUUACAAGGGAUGUGCUGAAGCACGGAUAUGUCAUGUAUGUGCUUAAUGUUUCAUGCUCAAUAAAGUUACCUGUGUGACCAGGACCAGCUUCUUCCCUCACUGAACCAUCACACCCAGCAUCCACAGCAGGUCACCCCUCUAGACUCUCCAUGGUGACAGACCUGUAGUAUGUACUGGGUCUGUAACUGCACAGACCCUGGGGUUCAUAGGGGUUGUAUGUGUCCUGGGGCCCAUGUGGUGUCUGUGUGGGAGGCCUUGGCGCUUGCGCUGUGUGGUUUCUUGGCCUGUUAAAUUAAAACUACUGUGGACAGGACUGUCCGUGUGUCCAUACCAACCAGUUAUCUUAUAGUAAGCAGGAUGUUCAGCUCUCGUCAAAAAUUCCUCAUUUCAUCUCCGGACAUAAAAAACACUUGGUAUACCGUUAGGAGAGCACAUUGGAGGCCCCCUAGUGUGUAGACCUGGAGGCCCCCUAGUGUGUAGACCUGGAGGCCCCCUAGUGUGUAGACCUGGAGGCCCCCUAGUGUGUAGACCUGGAGGCCCCCUAGUGUGUAGACCUGGAGGCCCCCUAGUGUGUAGACCUGGAGGCCCCCUAACCCCUUCCCGACAUCCCCUGUACUUGUAUGACACAGCGGGAAGUUAGUCCCUGACAGCUGCCAUACACUCACUAAAUCAGCAGCAGUGGUUCUGCUGCAUCCACCGGCAUCGGUGACAACACAGAUGCCCGUGCAUUAACCCUUUGUAUGCUGGGUCACCACUGACCGCGGCAUGCACAGGGUUUGUGGAGGAGGGGGGGGGGGGGGGGGCUGCGAUAACUGGUAAGGCAGCCCUAUGCCUUAAAUGGGUGUCCGAGCCUACCCACUAUGGAAGCCCAUGAGAUCCAGUCCCAAGGAUAAGUCUCAUAGGCAUGCUGUCAGUGUAUUACAAUGACUGGCAAUACAUUACAAUACACAAUGCAUUGUAGAGGGGAACAGACCCCUGAAAGGUAAUGUCCCACAGUGGGACAAAAAUAAGUUGUCUGUGUUUGAUAAUUAAAAAAAUGAAGUUUCCAAUGGGGGAAAAAAAGCACCCUUUCCCCUCAUCAAGCCCUAUACAAUAAUAAAAAAAAAAAUGAAAAUAGACAUAAGUAUCUUCAUGUCCGUAAUGACCGGCUCUAUAAAAAUAUCACCCCAGGGAUCAGCAUCCUCUGCGCACUGCAGAUGUUCUAAAACUACGAAUCCCAGCAUGCUCCUUUAACUUCUAUGGGACUUACAAGAACAGAUGAGUAAGGGUGCAUGCUGGAUGUUGUAGUUUCAAAGCAGCUGGAGUGCCAAAGGUUGCUGAUACCCUGUCAGAUGAAAGGCAUAAAAAAAAACUGUAGUAGGGAGCGAUCAAAAAGUACAAUGUACCACUGAAAACGUCAAUUCAUCCAGCAAAAAAUAAGCCUCCACACAAGACGAUCGCCAGAAAAAUAUGGCUCAGAAAAUGACACUGCAUUCCUUUAAAAAAAUACUUAGUGUAGAAUUGGUACAACGUAAAAAAAUUAUAUAAAAUUGGUUUCUCUGUAAUCGUCCUGACCAGCAGAAUGAAGGAAACGUCACUUUAACCGCACGAUGUUCGCUGCAAUGGCAGAGUCCUUCUCUUUAUCCUGCUUCCCAAAAAGAUUGAUAAGUGAUAAAUCGUAUGUGACCAAAAUAGAAGCAAUGUUGACCUUGAAGAGCGAAAAUUAAAAUGUAUGGUUGUCUGAAAAUGGCUGCACUGGUGCCUGUAAACCGUUGCACCAAAAUCUGCCCUCCAAAAACCAUAUGGCGCUCCUUCUCUUCUGAUUCCUGCCGCGUGCCCAAACAGCAAUUUACCACCACAAAUGGGCCGAUGCUGCUUUCAGGAGGAAACGUUGACUUCAUCAUGUAAAUGCAGUUAAUACCAGGCCCUCACCUACUGUGUUCUUCCCUUCCCUUAUAGAUUGUAAGCUCUUGCGGGCAGGGUCUCUACCCCUAGUGUACCAGUCUGUUAAUAGUUUCUUGUACUUCUAUGUUUGUGUAACCCUGGCUGGAUGUACAGGAAAUGAAUGGCCCUUUAAAAUAAAUAAUGUAUUGUGCUUCUCCAUGUUGCCUCCUUUGCUGACUUUCAUUUUUCCAUCCCGUUUGAACAAGGCACGUUUCCUUGGUUAC